Molecule: ribosomal RNA, 500 nt
Filed under: uncultured soil bacterium
Lineage: Bacteria
Description: bacterial SSU rRNA
Rfam family: Bacterial small subunit ribosomal RNA
Source: RNAcentral
AGAUUGAACGCUGGCGGCAUGCCUUACACAUGCAAGUCGAACGGUAACAGGGAGCUUGCUCCGCUGACGAGUGGCGAACGGGUGAGUAAUACAUCGGAACGUGCCCAGUAAUGGGGGGAUAGCUCGGCGAAAGCCGGAUUAAUACCGCAUACGCCCUGAGGGGGAAAGUGGGGGAUCGCAAGACCUCACGUUAUUGGAGCGGCCGAUGGCUGAUUAGCUAGUUGGUAGGGUAAAGGCUACCAAGGCGACGAUCAGUAGCUGGUCUGAGAGGACGAUCAGCCACACUGGGACUGAGACACGGCCCAGACUCCUACGGGAGGCAGCAGUGGGAAUUUUGGACAAUGGGGGAAACCCUGAUCCAGCAAUGCCGCGUGUGCGAAGAAGGCCUUCGGGUGUAAAGCUCUUCGGCGGGACGAACGGUCCGUGACAACACCACGGACUAAUGACGGUACUCGACAGAAGAAGACACCGCUAAACUACGUAGCCAGCAGCCGCGGUAA